Molecule: small nuclear RNA, 24 nt
Filed under: Arabidopsis thaliana (thale cress)
Lineage: Eukaryota; Viridiplantae; Streptophyta; Magnoliopsida; Brassicales; Brassicaceae
Description: snRNA_04258
Source: RNAcentral
GUUUUGGACAUGAUAGCAUUUAAG